Molecule: transfer RNA, 74 nt
Filed under: marine sediment metagenome
Description: tRNA-Ala
Rfam family: tRNA
About the family: Transfer RNA (tRNA) molecules are approximately 80 nucleotides in length. Their secondary structure includes four short double-helical elements and three loops (D, anti-codon, and T loops).
Source: RNAcentral
GGGGGCGUCGUUUAAUGGGAGGACUCUUGGCUUGCACCCAGGUAAUGAGGGUUCGAUUCCCUCCGCUUCCACCA